Molecule: long non-coding RNA, 1718 nt
Organism: Perca fluviatilis (European perch)
Lineage: Eukaryota; Metazoa; Chordata; Actinopteri; Perciformes; Percidae
Exons: 3
Source: RefSeq, a predicted model, not a curated record
UGUAAUACCACUCAAAUAUUUUUGUGCUACAUAUGAAGCUGCAGCCAGGAGACCGUUAGCUUAGCUCAGCAUAAAGACUGCAAACAGGGGGAUGCAGCUAGCCUGCCUCUUUUCCAAAGAACGAGGGGACAACUCUCAAGUGAGUAGCUGUGAUGUCAUCCCAAGUCCCAUACGCAAGCUGAGCUGUAUCCAGCCCAGACAGAGGCAGACCGAGAGGAAAACACACCAGGCUGAUGAAAGGAUAUGAUGCACAUACUGAGAGCAUUCUUGAAGACAGGAGAGACGACACACUGUUCAGCACAGCCAUGCUUCAUCAAGCUGAAGAGAGGAUAACUAACAGGACACAAGGAGGAACUCAUUAAUCAAAGCUUCAGUAUGAGCAGGCCCUAAGGUGAUCCUGCCCCCAGCCAAAGCAAAAAUCAAAGUGCUGCAGUAUCAUCUGAGGAGCAAGUCACCAUAAAGAAAUCCUGCAAGAAGCCUCGUUGGAAAGAUUGUAGCACACGGAUUCAGCUCCGCUCUCUGAGAACCCUUGCUCUGUGUUUUUUCUUGCAAAGGCAACCGCUGUAAAUAUUUACAUGCCGUGUCUGGCAGCUCUUGGAGACGGAGAACACCUUGAGAUUAUAUGACUGUGACCUUUUAACUCAUGGUAACCCUCAUCUGGCCCUGCAGGCAGGGCUGGAUGUGAGACGUGUGGGUUUUUUGGUUGCUGAAACAGGAGGGAACUCGAUCAGUAGCUGUACUCUUUGUUUCGCGAAUUUGAGCUGAGCCUCCCAUUUCCUGCUUGUCUAUUUUUUCUUCAUCAUUGCAAGCGUUUCAUAGGAGAAAACCCAGAUUCAAACAUUCCAGGGUAACUCCCCACUUAACAUGCCAAUAUAUUGCCAUUUAACUGAAUGUUUGCAAAAUAUCAUAAAUCAUUUAUUUCCUUGUUUUUUUCAUUUAGCUGGAAAAUAUAUGGAAAAUAUGUGGUUGUGUUUUUACAAUGUAUGAAACAGCAAUAAUUUAAACACACACACACACACACACACACACACACACACACACACACACACACACACACACACACACACACACACACACACACACACACACACACACACACACACACACACACACACACACACACACACACACACACACACACACACAAAAUGGGCUGUGCCAUGUGUUCCCAGCUGGUUGACAUGUUGACUGUGAGGGUGAGCAGAACCAGCCGCAGGGCCAUGGAGCUCACCACCUACCCACAGAUGCUCCAGGGAGACUACCACAGAGUGACCGGCCUCCACUACAUGUCCUCUUUCUCGGAUGCUGAGGACUGCUGUGAUGACAGCAGCUCAGGCAGCUCUCUCACCUUGGACUGGCAGACACAGGGCACUGAUGGCUGACACUCGACCUAGACAUGUUAUACUACCAAGACGUAAAUAAACAUGAUAGAAUACACAGGACGUGUGGUCUAUUUGCAAUAAACGGGAUGAUUUGAAUUGAGGAGAAAUAGGAUUUGAGAGGUCUCUUAUUUUAAUUUUUUUACAAUAUUCUCUUUAUUAGGAAUUCUUUUUUGAUUUUCCGAUACGUUUUUUUAAUUGUAUAUUUUAUUACCCUGAUAUCUUGUCACCCAGUGGUGGAAGAAGUACUCAGAUCCUUUACUUAAGUAAAAAUAAAAAUUCUGUGGUCUAAAAAUACUCCAUCCUUACUAGAGUAAAAGUACACAAAUAUUAUCAGCA